AGCAGCCGCGGUAAUUCCAGCUCCAAUAGCGUAUAUUAAAGUUGUUGCAGUUAAAAAGCUCGUAGUUGAAUUUCGGGAUUAGUACGCUGGUCGUGCCUUCGGUAUGUACUGGUGUUACUGAUUCCUACCUUCUGAAGAACCGUCAUGUCAUUAAUUUGGUGUGGCGGGGAAUCAGGACUGUUACUUUGAAAAAAAUUAGAGUGUUUAAAGCAGGCUCGCGCUUGAAUACAUUAGCAUGGAAUAAUGAAAUAGGACGUUCGAUCCUAUUUUGUUGGUUUCUAGGAUUGACGUAAUGAUUAAUAGGGAUAGUUGGGGGCAUUAGUAUUCAAUUGUCAGAGGUGAAAUUCUUGGAUUUAUUGAAGACUAACUACUGCGAAAGCAUUUGCCAAGGAUGUUUUCAUUAAUCAAGAACGAAAGUUAGGGGAUCGAAGACGAUCAGAUACCGUCGUAGUCUUAACCAUAAACUAAUGCCGACUAGGGAUCGGAUGAUGUUAAUUUUUUAAUGACUCAUUCGGCGCCU
RNAcentral lists this ribosomal RNA (520 nucleotides) under uncultured Glomus. RNAcentral's name for it is "SSU rRNA". It matches the Rfam family "Eukaryotic small subunit ribosomal RNA", at positions 569 to 1088 of the family's 1831-position model. Lineage: Eukaryota; Fungi; Glomeromycota; Glomeromycetes; Glomerales; Glomeraceae. The record is from RNAcentral.